Long non-coding RNA from Pezoporus flaviventris, 3956 nucleotides. RefSeq lists it as uncharacterized. The record is from RefSeq and is a predicted model, not a curated record. The transcript has 3 exons. Lineage: Eukaryota; Metazoa; Chordata; Aves; Psittaciformes; Psittacidae.
UUGUCUUUUACUUUUCAUUUGGGUACAGAGUUGUACUUGACUGUUAACUCCAGAUUUUACUUUGUGACAGUACUGCUGCAGGAAAAAAAGCACUGGCUACUUAAUGCCAAAGAACAUAUACCAGUUUGUUUUGUUGCCAUCUUUGUGGCUUCCAUCCAAGGUCACUUCUACUACAGAGCACCUGAAUCCAAGACUCAUUUUGCUGCAGGAGGUUGCCUAACAGGACACUAACAGUUCAUGUGUAAUGAAUUUCCAAAGCAGUAUUAAAGCAGUGGGAAGCAUUGCUUCCUUUCCUGAAUGCUUUCUGCUUCACCAUAUAGUUUUAUACAAUAGUAUUUUUUUUUACUGUUUUUCAUAAUAUCCCCACUUUGGUUGAAGAAAAAUAGGGGGGAAAAGAUGACCAACUGUGGGUAUGAUUAAAGACACACAGUGUGUAUUACUAAUGAGGACAUAAGGGAAAAAAUAAGCACACCAUCUGGUUUUAGGUACCUAAUUUAAGUUAGGAGGCUUAUCUUGUUAGGCUUUUGUAGGAGAGUGUGGGAUAGGCAGAGUUGUGCUCCUAAGCCAUCAGAUGCUCUAAAUCACCCCCUGGCAAAGCCUGCUUCCUUCUUUUCUUGCAGAGCUGGCACAGGGAGAUGAACCAUCCAGGUUGGGUGGGUAAUUCAGCUAAUCAUUCAGGAAACUUGUCAGACUGCAUUCAGGUCAGCAGUUCAUCAGUGAGUGCUAUGAAAGAUAAUCUAUGAAUGUCAAAGUUGCAGGACCUUGAAAAAAGGCAGUCAGCAGGAACAGCUUGAAAAUCUGCUGAACAGAAACACCUAAAGGGGAAAUGUUUUUCCUCUGGUACCAAGCUCAGGUCACCGCCACAGAGCCAAAGCUUGCCAUGUUCAGGUACAGCUCUGCCAUGAAACACCCAGGCUUAGCAGUUCCUUCAGAGCCCCCUUCGUCCAGCUUCAUCUGCAGCUUCUUCUCCAGAGGACACUGCUGUGCCAGUGUUCAGUUCAUCCUGUCAGCUAUGUGGCAGGGAGGGAGGAUGGCCCAGCAAAUCGGGGGGACAUUGUGAAAGGCGCUCUGGCUUCUCCUCCUGCUUCUGCUUGGGCAGGCUCCUUCAGCUGAGCAACAGUCACAGGUUUCUUCUUGGUUCGUGCUUGGUCUUGAAAAAGAUUGGCUGCUCUAUAAUCUUUCUGUCUGUAAUCUCUCUCUGUCAUUUCUCACAUACUGUUUCUUUGCGGCCCACUGGAACCCAGAGAUUUUCACCCUUGCAGAUAUCUGAAUAUCUUCAAUAAGGGCUACCUUUCCUAUUUCCUUGCAGAGAGCUGCUAUUGCUGAAAUAACUGCCUCCUAAUCUGAACACAGCGGGGAGUUCUCAGGAAGAUCAUACUUCUGAAAAUGGCUGUGCUACACCAAACCAAGGAGCACCUCAGCUCAUUAGCUGAGAGUUGCAAAACCUGAGUCCUUAAAACCCUGACUGAACUAAUACAGCUGAACUUCUGUACGCUCUUGAUUACAAUACUUGAUUGCCUAAACUGCUUACAGUAGCUAAAAAUAUCUGAUAUAUUCCAACUAUCAGUGACACAUGCAGCACAUAAUACUGGAUGCCACCCACUGGCUUGAAAUGUUUUUUCACCAUGUGCCUGACUUGCUGCAGGAGCCAGAAGGCAGGAAGAGAGACAGUUGGGGUGACAUUGAAAGAGGCUCCCUUAUUACUUACCUAACUUGGAUCAGUUUGUGGUUCAGAGUUUUGUAGUACUAAAAGCUCUUUGCAAAGUGUGAUUAUUUAAAUUGGUGCAGUCUCUCUGAUGACGUUGGAGAGCUGCUUCUAGUCCAGCAUUUCUCAGGAAAGCUGAUAGCAAAACCCAUUCCUAUAGGUUUUACAUACUUCUGACACUGUGGUUCAGUCUACUGCAACCUUUGGGUCCAUGAGAAGAUCAUGUUGGCCUCAGCUGUACCAUCCUAUGGGUGACUAACGCUUAAAAAUCUAACAUUUUGAGAAUAAAGAUAGAUCUGUUUUUCACUUUGACAUGUUCGUGGGUUCCUUCUGACAGAGUAUGCAUGCCAGUCAGACUCAAGGAAGAAGAGACCUCAACACCCACCAUCACCUUGAUUCCCUAGGCCAGCUGAGGAUCCAAGGAAGGAGUGUUUGAGAGAAGAUCCUGUAUCUCUACAUACAUUUUCUGAUGCUGUUACCUCUACCAAGCACCCCUUUUGGCAGUUUUCUGAAAAGCCCUUGUUAGCAGGAUACCUUUUCUUCCUCUUUCUACCUUUGUCUUGCAUUUGGCUCCGUUUCUGUUUAAUUCCGGGAAUGGCAGAAUGCCUUUGUUCAGUGUGACAAUCCUUGGUUAUAAGAGUCACAAAGCUGAUGCACAAGAGCUUUACUUCUGUGCCUGUUGUUCCCUUCACUUGCAGGAAGGAUGUGAAGUUUCAUCUACAACAAUCUUACUUUUAGCACAAGGGCUUGUUCUCAGGAUUAUUGUUAGCAUGGGACAUUUUAACAUUAUAUAUUAGAAUUCAUAUGAUUCUAGAAGUCUCUGCUUCAUUUCUCCCACAUGUUCAAAUAAUGGCUGUACAAAGGAGACCACUCAUCUAGCCUGUGCCAAGCAAGAACUCAUUUCUGCAAUUGAUGUACCAUCACCCAGUCUUUGCCUGCAGGACUAUGUUCUGCACAGGAAGAGUCAACUGUAGAGGGAAAUCUCCAGAAGUGGAGUACAACCAUUUAUAAACCUCUUGCAACAAAAAUCAAGUGUUUGCCAUUACAAGUCAUGCCUGGGGACUUCCAUCAUGUGUGAUUUUUCAUCCCAUGAUCUUCAAGAAUGACGUACAUGUAACUUUUAAAUCUUCUAAUACUGUGAAUGUUAGGAAGAUUAGGUCAGGCAGAGCUCAGCUAGCCAUCAAGAUGAUUUUCAUGCUUUGUCACCAACUAUUUGUUAUUUAGCCCAGAAGGCUAAAUUUGUGGUUAGGUUUGAUUGCGCAAGGUGACAGGCACAGGCUUAGCUUCCCUCUUCUUUGCAGUAUUUGAAGCUUAAUUGGUGGUUGCAGAAAGAGUCCAGAUAUCUUCAGAGACCAAAACGUUUAAAUCCAGGUGAGAAAUACUUCUGUCAGACCAACAUAUUGUGCCAAGUAGAAGAGAGCUUCAUUAAAGCAGAGCCAUGUCUGUUAAGUCCCUGUUCUGAAAUACUAGUUUUCUGACCUGAUUAGUUAUAUGGGGGUUUUAGAGGGAGACAUGAAGCACCCCCAAUUGCUCUGUGAACUAUCUCAGCAUACCACUCCUUUUCCAGAGAUACACAUCUCCUAGUUUCCCUGGUCUCUGUUGUGACUAGAUAGAUCCCAGGGAAAAUAUUGUAUGCACUUUUUAUUCUCUGCAAAGCAGGAAAAUGCCAGUUUUACAUUAGCAAAGGAAUGAGAGUUUGAUAGAGCCCUCUGUCUGCUCCACUGUGAUAUGUUAGGCAGUAAAUUUACUAAUGGCUUCUGUUACCCACCAUAUGACUGUGUGGCAAAUAUUAUGGUUUGGGAGCGCAAGUCUAGGUAAUAUGUGUCUGUGAUUUAAAGAGGCAACAGAUUAGCUCUGGCAGUGUGUUUGUAAUGGUUUAACCCCAGCCGACAGCUAAGCCCCACAGAGAUGCUCUUUCACACUCAGUGAUGGGGGAGAGAAUCAGAAGAAUAAAAGUGAGAAGAUUCAUGGCUUGAGAUAAAGCGAGUUUAAUAAGUAAAGUAAAAGCCACAUGUGCAAGCAAAGCAAAAUUCAUUCACCACUUCGCAUUGGCAGGCAGGUGUUCAGCCAUCUUUGGGGAAAGCAUGCCGUCAAGCUUUCCUUGAAGCUUUACAUGACAUGUAACGGAAGACAAACACCAUUACUCCAAAUGUGUCCCCCUCCCCUUCUUCCCCCAGCUUUACGUGCUGAGCAUGAUGCCAUAUGGUCUGGUGUAUCCCUGUGGUUAGCUGGGGAUAGCCUGUCCUGGCUG